AACGGUCUAUACCUGCGGUACCUGCGGAGGGAUCAUUACUGAAGGAAUGGUGUAGGGUUGAGCUGGCUCCCUUUCAAAGGAGUAUGUGCUUGCCCUUACCACUUUUUCUAUUCUCCACUGUGCACCUUUUGUAGGCUAUGAUAACUCUCAGCCCCUAUCUAUUACAGGAUAGGGGGUUGGAUGGAGGACUUGCACCACACUUGGGCUUGACCUCUCUUUCGUGGCCUAUGCCUUUCAUAU
This 240-nucleotide unclassified non-coding RNA is filed under the name soil metagenome. Its description in RNAcentral is "partial contains 5.8S ribosomal RNA, internal transcribed spacer 2, and large subunit ribosomal RNA". The record is from RNAcentral.